UGUUUUCUUUUAUUCCCUUUACUUUAGUUAAUUUCCUUUUCUUGUGGAUUUCUUCUUUCGUUCCAUUUCGGUCAAACUUCCUAUGUCUGUUAUAGUGUACUCUCCUUCCUUGAAAUGACAUUUAUAAAUAAGGUUAACAUGUAAGUCGCUACUUUAAUUUGAUAAAAUGCAAAAUCUCUACCUUACAAAAUGCUUUGAAUGCCUUACAGACUUUGUCUUUGCUGCACACACGGGCAGAAUGGAGUGAUAUUUUAAGAUUUCCUGCAACUAGAAAGAGGCCCAGCCAGCAAGUCCGCUCAACAUAUUCCAGAACAAAUCUAAGAUUGCCUUCUGGUCACUUCCCUAUUUCUUGGAUGGCAUCAUUGGGUGCUCUACCCCUGGGCUCAAGUCUUCCUGACUGCUCACACACUUCUGAGGACUGCUUGAUAGACAUUGUCGUACUACUCAGCUGUCUAGGCAGAGAGGAAGAGGAGACCAAACUUAAACAAUGACUUGUUUAUAUCAUCUCUGCAAAGAGUACAAGCUCUACGGGAACAAGGCCAUGUCCCUCUUGCCCAUCACCAUUUCCCCCAUGUCUGGCAAACAGUAAGCAGGCAGCAAAUACGUGUGGAAAUGAAUGGAAUUGUACACAAUUGACAAGGGAACUUCUGAAUCAGUGUGUUUCCCACUCCAACAUUGGAGGGAUAGAUGUGGAGGCUAGAGAAAGGACUGAAGAGAAAGAGCUAAACUGUCUUGUUAUUUUUCUUAUUUUUAUCAAAUGAACACAUACAGUAAAAAAGUAAAAUAGAAAAGUAUAUAACAAAAAGCACCGAUCUUCUUCUCCACCCCUCCCCACCAUCAUUUGUUUCCUGGGGGCAAUCGCUUAAAACUUUUUCUGUUUUUACUUCUUCCAGUGCUUAGCUCCAUAUCUUUAGAUAAUGUGUCUAUAUGAUUUCUUCUUAAUCAACUUUACGCAUAAUCAUUCUUUUCCCACUAAGCAACACGAGGAUUUAAGAGCUUAUUCUUUAAACCAUGAAUAUGUGGUAAGCCUGGGGUAGUGAGGAAUGAUCCCACUUCUAGUCUAAGGAUUUGGUAGAGCUCCCUGCGCAUAGUUCUAUCAAGGCAAUUGCCAUACUAUCCAAAAACAUCGAUUUUCUUGCUCAUUCCCCCAUGAGAUGCUGAACAACUUGAGUUGUUCUCCAAUUUUGAGUUAUAUCUCCCUCCAAUUUUGUAACCCCAGACCUAUCAGUGUCUUCCAGGUAGCAGGUGGGCUUAUUACAUUUAUUUCUUGAACAAAUCAAUGACUCCUACUGAUAAAGUUACUGGGAAGCUGAUGAGGCACAGAAAAGGGAAGAUCGCAGUGACUGAUCAUCCAAGAAGCAAGGGAACAACUGAUUUCAAGGUUGACUGACCAAAUCGUCCUGCCCCCCCAAACAGCCAAGACCUGAGAUGGCCAGACAGUGCACUGAGCGUGGACAGUCUGCAUUUCCAGUGAGGUGAAGUGUUUUCAAUUAGCAAUAAUAUGAGAUGUCCAUAUAUAGAAGUUACUGUUACAGUCUACAAGUAAUUUUGAGCAAUAUAAAGUCAUAAUUGGUACAUCAUUUUACUGAUUAUUUAAAUUUUUCAAAAAAGAGUUGGAGAUUUAUUCCAUUUUAAACAUAAUAUAAUAAAAAAUAUUUUAAAAAAUGAAAAAUAAAAAAG
RNAcentral lists this long non-coding RNA (1680 nucleotides) under Ursus maritimus (polar bear). Its description in RNAcentral is "lncRNA (ENSUMAG00000007827.1)". Lineage: Eukaryota; Metazoa; Chordata; Mammalia; Carnivora; Ursidae. The record is from RNAcentral.